Molecule: small nuclear RNA, 107 nt
Filed under: Notamacropus eugenii (tammar wallaby)
Lineage: Eukaryota; Metazoa; Chordata; Mammalia; Diprotodontia; Macropodidae
Source: RNAcentral
GUGCUCAUUUCUAUGAUACGUAUGCAAAUCUGGGAAUAACAUAGAGAAAAUUAGCCUGACCCCUGCUCAAUAGUGACACUGUAAAAUAUGGAAUACUGUAAAGUAUU